Molecule: ribosomal RNA, 443 nt
Filed under: uncultured bacterium
Lineage: Bacteria
Description: partial 16S ribosomal RNA
Rfam family: Bacterial small subunit ribosomal RNA
Source: RNAcentral
GAUGAACGCUGGCGGCAUGCCUAACACAUGCAAGUCGAUCGGUAAGGCUCUUCGGAGUCCCCGAGAGGCGGACGGCUGAGUAACGCGUAGGAACACACCCUGCAGUGAGGGAUAAGACACCGAAAGGUGUUCUAAUACCGCAUACGGUCUUCGGAUUAAAGCAUUUAUGCGCUGAAGGAGUGGCCUGCGUCAUAUUAGAUAGUUGGUGAGGUAAUGGCUCACCAAGUCGAUGAUGUGUAGCUGGUCUGAGAGGAUGAUCAGCCAGACUGGAACUGAGACACGGUCCAGACUCCUACGGGAGGCAGCAGUGAGGAAUAUUUCACAAUGAGCGAAAGCUUGAUGGAGCAAUGCCGCGUGCAGGAUGAAGGCCCUCGGGUUGUAAACUGCUUUUAUAAGAGAAGAUUAUGACGGUAACUUAUGAAUAAGGGACGGCUAACUACGUG